RNAcentral lists this long non-coding RNA (349 nucleotides) under Coffea arabica (coffee). RNAcentral describes it as "long non-coding RNA (CARA_LNC006376)". Lineage: Eukaryota; Viridiplantae; Streptophyta; Magnoliopsida; Gentianales; Rubiaceae. The record is from RNAcentral.
ACUAUGGCUCCUUCUAACCAGAACUAACUUAGAAUUGGAUUUAUAAAAUAUUCACUAGUUUCAAAAAGUAUGGACUUGUGCUAGGUAAUCUUUUUGCUGAAAUGCUGAUUUUUAUUCAGCCAACGAUACCACUUCAAAUAUCAGUUGUUCUGCAAAAGGUUAUCACUUCAAAUAAAAUUCAGCCGAAGGUACAAGUUUGACAAAAAUGCGCAUAUGGACUUGUGCGUGAAUAAACAAAACUUAACUAUUACGAAACGAAAAGUACAGGCUAUUUCAUUAGAACUAUCACUUAUUAUCCUAUAACAUUGGUUAUAAGUUUAUCAAGUAUCAUGACACAGACAUUAUAGUC